This 230-nucleotide long non-coding RNA is filed under the name Jatropha curcas. RNAcentral describes it as "long non-coding RNA (JCUR_LNC001699)". Lineage: Eukaryota; Viridiplantae; Streptophyta; Magnoliopsida; Malpighiales; Euphorbiaceae. The record is from RNAcentral.
UUGUAACAAUUUUUGCUCGUUGCUCUUGCUCUUGCUCUUCAUCUUCUUGAAAUUGCUCAUUAAAUUCGGAUUCUUGAGUUGGAAUAUCCAAAUUUUCAUUUGGAAAACCCUCAAAAUUAAAUUGGUCGGGAAUCAUAUCAUAGAUGUCGUUUGUAGGGAUAGAUGAUUCUCCAAUUUUUCCCUUGCCCUUACCCGAAUUUGAGUUUCCUCCACUUGCCAUUAUAUGAUAA